UGGAAUGAUUUUGUUUGAAUACAAAAUUUUCAGAGAAAGAUUGUUUCUCUUGAUUUGUAUCGCCCAAAAGAAGUUACAGCUCAAGACAGAGUGACAUGCUUGUGCACUGUCAGCCAAUUUCCUACUCAAGCUGCCCCAAUGAUAGCCAAUGAAAGCGUAUCCCAGUUUCCUAUCCAUUCUGCCAUUCUGAGAGACCAAUCAGCUGGAACUAACAGUAGCUCUAUAGGAGCAGCUGAACGAAUAAGUUCUACUAAAAGAAGGCGCAAGUUAUUUGACGAAGCCAUACAAAAGCGUUCAGUUUUUGUUGGAAACAGUUCCACUCAAUCUGACUGCAAUUUGAAUUCCACAAAACAAACUACAUCAAAAUCUUCUGUAGUAACUUCACACGUUCCUGAUGUCGCUUCCGCAAUCGAGGACUUGUUGGAGCAGACAACUAAGGUAAAAUCUGGUUUGAGCUUCAAUUCCAUUACUUCAUUCCAUUUUUAUUUUUAUUUUUUCCUUCAAAUCCUUUUGUUUUCCAUUCUUUUUAAGAUUCAAGAUCAGAAGUCACCUGGAAAGACUGGCUGCGACAAAAGUGUAUCCUUCUAUUAGGUUUAAACUAACUAGUGGACAUGGCCAUUCUUAGCUCUUACAUCCAAAGCAGUUAGUCGUACGAGGACAAUUUCUUUUUCUUUGUCUGUUUUACUGAGUCAAAAGCAGCCUUUAGGUUUCAUUAUUACAUUCUGGUGGAGCGAGAGAAAGAACAGAAUCGUCAAAGGGUGUGAGAGUCCUUAUUGCGAUGUUUGAUCCCUUACUGAAUUCUUUGUUUCUUCUGGGACAUUUGUUUUGUUAUUAUUUGCUAGACCUUAUCUCUUUAUUGGAGCCUUUUUUGCACUUUGGUUCUUUUUGUGGGCUUUCUUUUUUAUGUCCGUUUAUUCUUUCAUUUUUUCUAAAAAUGAAAGUUAAGUUUUUUUUUUAAAAAAGAAAAAGUUAUUAAAUGCAUCUGCAUUUAAAUAGUAUCUAGUGAUAGACUUUAGUAUCUUAUCGUUGCGUUCCCACUCCACCUAAUCUAUUAUUACAUGCAUCUGUGUGCUUGUGUUCUAAUUCCUUCUAAACUAUUUUUACGGGAUUUUCAUAGCCAUUGUCUUUGAAGAACUCCCCCUUUUCCUUCCCCAGAAGAAAGUUCACUCACAGUAUGUUCAUUCAGCUGUUGUGAUUAGUUUGUAGAAUUGAGAGGAGCAUUGCCCAUGGUUUAUCUUUUUUUGGUAUUUUCAAUUCAUUUUUAAGACAAAUGUUGAUGUUUUAUUUUUGGUGUAGCUGACUUACUUUGCCAUGGACUAUAAGAGCUAAUUGUUCAAACACGUGAAUUUAGGUUCAUCAUCAAAAACCACCGUAGCCGAUCGUGUUGUAAUUUCUAGCCAACACCCAUCUUUGUUGGUAAAAUUGUACUUUCUAGUUUCCUUUGCCCUUAUCUGUAAAGUCUAUAUGAUUGCUUUUAGGACCUGCUAUAUUGAAGAACAUCUUAUCCAUCCAAUAUGUAAAGAAAUGGAUAUUUUGUUACCGGGAUCCAGAAUGGGCUGAUGUGAAGCUCGCUCAGGCUAAGUAUCUUUUAUCACGCCUAGCUCGAUUCAAAUCUUUAGUUGCUGAAAAGUUUGAAUGCACACCCUCAGUACUUUUGGCUGGCGAUUUCAAUUCAACCCCAGGAGAUAAGGUUUGUAUUCUAUCUCGAUUUAUCAUUUGCAUUGAAUUUCCUCUUUCUGAAGAUAUGGUAUAUAGCUAUUUCAUUGUUAUUAUCAUGUCUAAAUUACAAGUUUAGUCCCUUGAACUUUGUGUCUCCUUGAUUGCUUAACUUUCCAAAAGUAUCUAAAAGAUCUGCAUGCUUUCAAUUUUGUGUAACCAAGUCUCAAAAUUUUAAAUUCAUGCAUUUAAUAGGUUCCAUUGAAGUUGAGAAUCAUUGUAAACCUAGAUCUUUCUUUUUUUUCUUUGCUAUGGUUAAAUUAUAUGUUAAUGUUUUGUUCUGUUACAAUUUUGUUCCUAUCAAUAUUGAUUAGUAUUAAAGUUAGUAUAUCUAUUUUGGACGUUGUUAGUUCUUGUACAUUUAUAUGUCGUACUAUCAGUACAUCUUAAAUUUAGUUCAUCUGGUUUCAACAAAUCAUUAACAACAUUUGAAGACAUUAUUUAUCAAAUUGGUUAAAGUAAUUUUUUAAAACAAUAAAGUAAUAGUAAUAACUAAGUUAAGAUUUAUAAAAAAUAUAGAAUUAAGAUGGUACAAAAUAUUUUCCUCCUCAUUCUGCUUCAUGAGGAGAAAGGUCAUCUUUUUUAUCGCUUUCAUGCUUCCUGGCUUGUGGGUUUUGGUUUUGAAGACUUUUUGUAAUUACUCUAUAGGUGUUAAUUUGAUAGUUGGAGUGCGUUCCCAUAGGUUAUUUUUUCCCUUCCUUUUCCUUUUUGUAAUUACUCCAUGGUAGUACUUGGAUCUCAUUCUCAUCACAACUUCCCAAAACCAUCUAGGACUGUUGCAUAAUUAAUGGUCCAAUGUCUGAUUAAAAUUUUAAACCACCAAAAUCAUGUGAAUUGAACUAUGAGAAUUGUUGAGAAGGAUUGAAUUUUAUGUUUAUUUGAAACUCAGCAUCUAAUGGACCGGCCAUUUGAAAUGAUUUUUUUAAAUGCUUAUAAAUGCUGUUUUCUUCACUUGUAGAGACUAUAAUUUAAACACAUGAGAGAAUGUUUAGGGCAAGGAGUUGAUAAUUCGUUAUAUAGUCUUAGGUUAUUAUAGUUUGUGCUUGAGGUGUGAAUUAUUUUAGUUUUGGUAAUAAUAUUAUGUGAUAGAAGGUAAAACAGUAAAAACGGUAGCAAAUUAGGUUUCAAAAUAGUAUUGAUGAUAGGUAAUUGGGGAUUUAUAGUCUUACUAUAGUCAGUGCCUCGAACAUUUUCGUAGAAAGUCAAUUCAAAUAUCCCUAAAUAUAGGUUCUUUUUUGGUUAUUAUCUCUUUGGACAUCCAAAAUCACAAGCUUAUAAACAAAAAAUUCUAGCAAAUAAUAAAGAAGUAGAACUCAUUACUAGCCAGCAAAUCAUACUUCUUACAAACAACGUUAAAAACAAAAGGAAAAAGGCUCUUCCUUUUUCCUUUGGUUUAAAAAAAAGUUUAAAAAGGGACCUCAAAUAUUCUUCUAGGCCUAGACAUGCAAAUAAGUUGGUUCAAUUACAAACACACUUACUACUUUCUAGUAGUAAAAUCACUCAUUCUUGAGCCUUUAUGUCCUAUGCAAUUGUCAUAUUAUGUCCUAUGCAAUAGGUCAUAUUAUUGUCAUUCAACAAGGGCUUUAAUUUUGAUCAGUGGGGAAUUUGUUUUUUUGUCCUUAUCUUUAAAUGAUGAUCACUUUAUUAUACGGAUCCAAUUGAUAAGUUAAAUAGUGAAUUUGAUAAGUAGAAUUCUGUCACAAUUAGUGUUAAGUAAAGUUAAUAUAGGAAGAGUCUUUCAUUUGACACAUCACAAUUAGUGUUAAGUAAAGUUAAUAUAAGAAGAGUCUUUCAUUUGACACAUCAUAUUUGAUGUGUGUAUAUAAUAUAGAUAUGCACGUACAAUUUUUUUUUUAGUUCACAUGGGUUGAGAUUUGAAACUCCAACAACCUUUUGAUAUAGAAUAUAUGAUCAAGUUGUGGUAGGUACACAUUGUGUUAUACACUUAUGUAUGUAAUAUACUGAAGAUGGGACCGUUGGGCAUAUAUGACGGCUUUAGUGAAACACAAACGGAGUCUCAGGUGUGUGCCCAUCUUUCUUUUUGCCAACUAUAACUCUUAUCAAUUAUAGUAAUUUUUUUAAAAUUUGCCAUCAUUUUUGACAACUUGAUUACAAGAGGACUAAAGAACGAACUACAACUCAUAAGAUUUUUUAUGGAGUAGGAAUUAGGGUAUUAUGGACAAAUUCUUAAUAUAUUAGGAUUAGGAUUAGGAUUAGGAUUAGUUUCUUAUAUUAAUUAGAAUUAGGAUUAGUUUGAUUUUAAUAGAGUACUUGUCUUCUUGUAUUCACAAAUUUAAAUAUUAAUAAAAUUAAGUCAUUUGGUCUACACCAUAAAAAAUUGUCAUCGAUGGAAAAUUGGAAAACUUUUCGUGAUGCUGAUCACAAGAGGGAGCUUUGUGAGUUGUUCUCAUUGCUAAACAACACAAAUCUAACUGGGAGAACCCUUAAAAAUUUUUUUUAAAAAAAAAAAUUCAAAUUAAUUUGAUUGAAAACGUUGUUAAAACAAGCAUUGAAGAUUGUCAAUUGCAAUAAGAAAGCAUAGAUUGCAAAGAGUACGACAAGGCUUGGGCGGGGAUUCAACAGGUAUGCCUCUCCUAUAGUACUUUUUUAACAUUUUCAUCUCUGGCAGACUUGCAUAUGAAAAUGCCGAAACGUCACACCCAAGCAUAUCGACUUGAAAUUCAAAGCAACUACCUAAACUACGUACAAGACAUAAAGACAAGAUAAAUUGGGGCUAAUCUGAGCAUAUGGCCAUAGGUAAACACACCUUGGACAAGUAUGUCUGUAACUUGAGGACACAUUCAGGCUUGUCCCUAAGAAAGUGAAUAACUCUGUCCAAAAGGCGCCAAUGAACCGUCCAUCUCGAUCACUCACAAUGCUUGUCGGUACACCCCACAGCUUCAUAAUAUGUCUAAAGAAUAAUUGAGCUGUUAACUCCGCCGAACACUGCUUCGUAGUGGGAACAAAAGUGACAUAUUUCGAGAAUCAAUCUAUAAUGACUAAUAUAGUCUCAUAGUCGCCUACUUUUGGAAGAUGUGUGAUGAAGUCUAUAGAAACACUCUCCCACGGUCUCGUUGGCACAGGCAGAGGUUCGAGAAGCCCAGCAACCUUUGCCUUCUCGACUUUGUCCUGUUGACAGACAAGACACAUCUUCGUGUAUUGCAUGAUAUCGUCUCUCAUACGGGGCCAAAAGUAUCCAUACUUCAGCAAGACAUAUGUCCUCUGUCAUCCGGGGUGGCCAGCCCACAGAGUGUCCUGACACUCGUGUAGCAACUUCUUUCUCAGGUCUCCUCCCCUAGGGACAUACAACCGUCUCCCCUUCGUCACUAACAACCCAUCUUCAACCCAAAACUGCCUUGUUUUACCUGCCUCAGCUAAACUCAUGACACUCUGAGCCGCAGAAUGCUUCUGCAAGAACUCCCUCAAGAAAUCGCGCAUAGGACCAUUAAUCUUGCUUGCGUAGAGAUGUGCUAACAUGCACAAAGCAACGUGUUCACCUCUUCGACUAAGCGCAUCAGCGGCCUGAUUGCUCACCCCUUUCUUGUGUUCAAACUCAAAAUCAAACUCAGUUAGGAAUUCCUGCCAUCUAGCUUGUUUUGAAGUCAACUUCGGUUGCGUAAAGAAGUGACAAGUAGCACUAUUGUCCGUCUUCGCAACAAAAAGUUGACCCCAAUAAGUACUGUCUCCAGGCCCUUAAGCAAUGUACUACGACAAGCAUUUCUUUCUCGGACACGGUGUACCUCCUCUCCGUGUCAUUCAACUUUCGACUCUCAUAAGCGAUGGGGUCUCCAUUCUGCAGGAGUACACCACCCAAUGCGUAAUCAGACGCAUCGGUCUCUACUUCAAAUGGUUGGGUCACAUCUGCGAUCCCAAGAAUUGGCCCCUUGACCAUAGCUUGCUUCAGUUCAUCGAAGGCGACUUGACAUUCCAGUGUCCAAUUCCACUUGUUGUCCUUCUUCAGCAAGUCAGUCAACGGGCUUACUCUUUUAGAGAAUCCUUCCACGAAUCACCUGUAAUAAUUGGCUAACCCGAGGAAGGAGCGCAAGUCGGUGACUGACCUUGGUACUUCCCAAUCACGAAUCGCAAUGAUCUUUCCUUCUUCCAUACUGAUUCGACCACACUCAAUCACAUGACCCAAAAAAUUGAUCCGCUCUUGAGCAAAGGAACACAUUUCCCUCUUGACAUAUAGUUGGUUCUCCUUUAGUUGGUUCUCCUUUAGUUGGUUCUCCUUCAACUUCUGAAAAACCCUUUUGAGGUGGUCCUUGUGUUCUUCUAGCGUGGAGCUAUAAACCACUAUAUCGUCCAGAUAGACCACCACAAACUUGUCAAGGUAUUCAUGGAAGACCUGGUUCAUUAGCGUACAGAACGUUGCAGGUGCAUUGGUAAGAGCAAAUGACAUGACAAGGAACUCGAACGCCCCAUACCUCGUAACGCAGGUGGUUUUGGGCUCAUCCCCUUCGACAAUUCUUACUUGAUAAUAGCCCGAUCGCAAGUCUAGCUUCGAGAAAUACUUUGCUCUAUGAAGGCGAUCAAACAGGUCUUGAUUAUUGGUAACAGAUAUCUGUUGCAGACCAUGAUCUUGUUUAGGGCGCGGUAGUCGAUGCACAACCGCAUACUUCCAUCCUUCUUCUUCUGGAAAAAGACUGGAGCUCAAUAUGGAGCUUUUGGAGGCCUCACAAAUCCUGCGUUCAGCAGUUUACCCAGUUGUUUCCGAAGUUCGGCCAACUCCGGCGGUGCCAUACGAUAAGCAUCCUUCGCAGGCGGUUUUGCCCCUGGCAGCAGUUCGAUCUCAUGGUCGAUCAUUCUCCGUGGAGGCAAUGAUUUCGGCAGGCUGUCUGGCAUCACAUCCUUGUACUUCUCUAAGACACUUAGGAUGUCUUUGGGGACUGUUUCCCUUGGGCUUUCGAACGACUCCAGUGGGAUAGCCAUGAAGGUUGGUUCGUCACGAGCAAGGCCUUUCUUCAACUGCGUAGCCGAGAUCAUCUUUAUCCCAUCAGGCUGACGAAUCUCCGUUUGAACAACAGUAGGCGUUGUUCCAGUAAUCACUAAACAUUUGGCUAGCGGCAUUGGUAUGACUUGAUGCUCCAGUAGAAACUUCAUACCCAGUACCACAUCCAAGUCAUCCAUCUUUGCAACCACCAAAUCUAUGGGACCGCUCCACUCUUCCAUCCUUAUGGUCGUUCGUUUUACCAACCCGACGAUAGGUAGGGCAGCUGAGUUCACGUCCUUCAUUUUUCCUGCGUCCUUCUCCCGACGGAGAUUCAGCCGUCUAGCUUCGGCUUCUACAAUGAAGUUAUGGGUGGCACCAGAAUCCACCAUAGUGCUCUUGGGUGGCUUUUGGUUGACCCAACAGUCUACGUACAUGAGACCAUUCUACGUACAUUAGGGCCCCCAUCCGAGGAUUCUCGCCCUCUUCUAUCUGUCCAACGUCUCCUUCAGUCUGACUCAAUCUAUCAUCUGAGUCCGAGGCCAGGGUGGCUUGAAAAGCGUUGAAGUCGAUACGGUUGGGGCACUCUCUGGCAAGAUGAGGUCCUUUACAUAUGAAACAACUGAUGGAACGACUGGUGUUGUUUUGAUUGUUUGGUCCUCGCCAGUUGUUUCCUGUAUUCGCUUGGAAGGGCUUGCGAUCUCCACCUUGUCGCUUGUCUCCCCUACAGUCUUCGGGGAAUUUGGGCGGUUGUUUCUGUUUCCUCUAGAGGAGGAAGCUUGAUGUCGUCUUGCAUCCUAAGAUUCACUAGAUAAGUCAAACAACCGUUCAGCCACUGCGUAUGUCGACGUGAGGUAUUGGAUUCGUUGCUCAUACAACUUGGUCCUAGCCCACGGCUUCAAUUCACGUAGUCCCGAAUGUUCCCCGUGUGCUUCAAUUCACGCAGCUUCCGUCGGGCCAGAACUUGACAUUCUCAAGAAAAAAAUUGCGAACGGAGUUCUUCUUUUAGGGCAUCCCACGUGUCGAUUGUGCAACGCCCUUCUUGAAUGUCCAUGUAUCGGGACCUCCACCAUAACUUCGCAUCUUCUGACAGAUGCGUGGUUGCCAGUGUCACCUUGGCCUCUUAAGUAAUUGUGUUCGUGGAUUUGAAAUACUGCUCGACAUCAAAGAUGAAGUUUUCCAACGCCUUGGCAUCUCUCGCCCCAUAGAAGGGCUUGGGCUCAGGAAUCUUGAUUCUGCCCGCAGGAAUGGCUCCUCCAGCUGGAGCCUGGUUUGCUAGUGCUCGCAUAGUAAGGUUCACCCUUGUGUUUACCUCUGCGAGCUCAUUCCUCACGACAUCGAGGGUUGCUCGAAAAUCUUCCGUCAUGUUGUUGAUCAUCUUCAACAUGUUCUUUUGGGAGUUAUCAAGCUCCAUAACUCGUUCUUCCAUCUCGGCAACAUAGCCCGAUUAACUGUCCCCACGCUCGUAGGUGACAUUUCCCGUUCUCAUAACUCGGGACUUUAGAGCGUCGACUCUAGUCAAUAACUCUUGGAUGGGUAGUCCGUCAAGGCGACCGAACACGACUUCAAUGCCAUCAGCUUUCUUGGCAAUAUCCUCAAGCCGCUAUUCCAAGAACCGGAUGGAAUCAGGAACUUCCACCAGGUAGAGCAUCUGCUCUUCGAUUCUCAUAAGUCGCUCAUUAUGGGUCUUGCUAGACUGUUUCGCCACCGACAUCUUUCUGUCUCGCACUGUCAACUGCCAACUUGGCUCUGAUACCAGUUGUCACAAUUGUAACCCUUCAAACACGAUGUGAACGAUUGUGCGACACUUGUUCGAACUCGACGAACAAGUCAGCCGAUCAAAAUCCGCAAAUCGCGGACAACUUUAACACACGCUUCAACCUUCCCUCACGUUCUUGGAAAAAUAUUUUUAGAAAACGUAAAAGAUGAUUAAUUUGAUUGAAAACGUUGUUAAAACAAGCAUUGAAGACUGUCAAUUCUUAGUUCUGUCCCGAAACAUCCAAAAAAGGGUCGAUGUUAUGGCCUAGAAAGAAACCACCCAGCUUAGAACAAUGUCAGAGGUCCUGAAAGUUCACAUCUACCUGUCGGAUGGCCACAUUCCGAGUAAUAUAAAGUUUCUUGCCCACAAAAGCCGAACGGCGAUGGCCCGACCUCGGUUUUUUAGUUUCGUCCGAAACGUUGAAAAAAGGGUCGAUGUUAUGGCCUAGAAAGAAACCACCCAGCUUAGAACAAUGUCAAAGGUCCCGAAAGUUCACAUCUAACUGCUGGGUGGCCCCAUUCCGAGGAAUAUCAAUAUUUCUUGCCGAAAAAAAUCAAACGACGAUGUCCAGACUUGAUUUUUUAGUUCCGUCCGAAACGUUGAAAAACUAAAAUAUUAAAAUAUUGCUAUGAAUCAUAUAUUUACUCAUGGUUUUUUUUUCUUUUUGUUUUUAUUUAAGUCUUGAGUGUCUAAGAAUUAUUUGAUAUGGUACGAGUCUUCAAAAGUCACAUCCUUUUCAUUUUCUCUUUUAUAGGAUGAGUCAUCAAGACUCAUCUUUCUACACUAGAUCUCUAAUAAGUUCUAAAACAAUUUUUUCUGAGACGACUUUUGCAGGUUGAAUGGUGUUGUUUAAAACCAAUUUGAAUUGUUGAAGUCCCUUAACUUCCUAAGAUGUCUCUCCAUAUCUUGUCUAGUUUUGGUCCUCUAUUCUUUCUCGAUUACUGUGGUCGGGUCAUCUCGUUCACUCUAGAUUGCAUUGAGAGUAUAGGGGAUUAAGCAAUAAACAAAGCAUAAAAUGCUCAUAAAAUGCUAAUGAAAUCUGGUAGAUGAGAAACGGAUAUCGAAUGGAUGAUCUUGAAAGAGUUUCCAUUGUCCCAAACUACGAGCAAGUCGCUUCUCCUGUCCCUAUCUCUUACUUCUGUUACUGUGACUGUGUUAGAGCAAAAGGAAGUAGUUUAAACCCUUUUAACAGACUAGAAGCAGCUUGAAAUCUUCAAUUCGACUUGAAGUUUAGAACUUCACUUAUUACUGAAACAGUGCAAAAGCCAAGAAAAAAAAGUCUUACCAGGACUUUUGCCCUAGUGAUUGACUUGGUUUUUGAAUCAAUUACAUAUAUUUUCUCAAAAUCUAGGAUAAAUUCAGGGUCCCACAGCCUUCGAUUUUUGAAGUGCUUCGUCAAGAAAACCUGCAAAAGAUAAAUGAAUUGUUUGCACAUUCUUAUAUCUUUUGUCCACAUUCCCAUCCUGAAGAGAAGACCAUCACAUGCAUAAUAUUCUUAAAUUUCAAACGUCGUUGAGUCAAUGAACGUCACUUUGUAUAACUAUGCUAGCUACUUCUAUUCUAACGUAUCGCGGCGAAACCUAUACUCGGAUUUACAAAGAAAUGGAAGAGUCCAUUAAAUUAUCAUCACUUUCACUAGAAAUAGAAAAAUAGAGUGAACAAUCAUCAAAUUCUUAAGUCCAACCUUACCUUAAGAACCUCCUUUUCAGACUUGUAUAAUGGAUCUCUAGGUGCAUCAAUAGGUGGUUCUAUGACAUUGUAGCAUCCAUAAUCACUCUAAGCACAUCUAAUAUACUGCAGUUGUGAAGAAAAGUAUGAUCAUACACUACUGAAAUUCCUUAAAAUCUUAUUUUGGUCCUUGAACUAUGAUGUUUGUUCCAUAUUGUUCUAUUAACUUUUAAUUAUUGUGUUUAAGUCCCUUAACCUUCAAUAAGUCAGUUUUAGUCUCAGAUUUCUUCAUCAAAUUAACUGUUAACUUACCAACCGUUCUUCCACAAAAACUUAAAUGACCGUCUGUAAACAUUUGCCGACUGACUAAAUGAACAUGCUAAAUUGAAAUCUGUUUAUAGAAAAUGAUUGAAACUUUUCACAAAGGAGAUGAACAGAGACUAGUGCUUCAACAUACAAAAGGAUACAACAAAAACAUAGCAUAAUGUAAACAAUUAACCACAGAGGAUUAAAGUAAAUGUGGUAAGACUGAAGUAAUAAGACUUCAAAAAGUAAAUGAAAACUUAGAGAGGCGUGAUAAAUGCCGGCCAAUUGCACUAGUUAUUGUUAAUGUAAAGUUAAUGAAAAUGGCUAAACUAACAGGUUAAGUUUCUGUUCAUUUGUUAGUUAAAAACUAAUGAAAAUGGUUGAAACGGGUUUUUAAUCUAGAGUUCAAGACUAAAACAUAAUAAUUUACACCAUUUUAUCAUGUAUAUAAAUGCAAAGAAAGAACAAUAAUACCUUUUGAGGCAUUGGAGGGAGCAAGAACUUUGGGGACGACAUAAACAUCAGUAUCCGGAGGAGUAACAUACAUCUACAACCAAGAAACACAUCAACGAAAACUUUUUUUAACUAUCAAAUGAAUCUGAUAAAGCCAAGUUUGAAAUGAAACUAAGCAAAUUUUGCCACUAACCUCUCUAAAAUCAUAAACAUCGCUGUUGGAAUCCGACGACUUCCUAAUGAAGAAAUGACAGUGCAUAAAACUAAUCUUAUGAAAUUCCUCCUCAUUUAUCCUAUAAUCCACAAUCAUCUCCGAAUCCCAUCCCUGUGUGAACACGAAGCUUUUGCUCUGCACAAUCGAGAUAUUCUCAUCGCCAACGUCGUCGGAACCCGCUGCUGCAGCUAUCGCGGCGACUAGGGGAUCGUACUCGAUGUCGAAAUCUUUGUUGCUGUUGAAUUCCUCCAUUUCCUCAUCGUCCAUGUCGUAGUCAUCGGGACCACCACUAUCACCGUUGCCAUCGCCGGAGAAGACUCGACAAGGGUUUCUUCUAGGGAGGAAGAGAGGAGAUGCAGAUGGAGUGGAUUUCCGAUAGGGCAGGCUUGGGAGGUGGGGAAGAGAGGUUGCGGAGGAGAUGGAGGAGACUCAAAGAUGGUUGAUUGGGGGGCGGCAACGACGAGGAGAGGAGGAAGACAGUGGAGUUCAUGAGGACGCAAACUCUGUUAAGCGGGCACCGAAGAAUUCGAACGCUCUUGUGUUGAGUUUGUUGAUGGACACUGUCAGGUGGAUAAUGUUAAAAAUAAUUAAAAUGAAUAUUUUUAAAAACAUUCAAAAAAAUCGUUAAUAUUAUGAAAAUGGUCAAAUACUGUCAGUUUUGGUCUACCAUUUAAAAAAUAGCAUACAUUUUUUUUAUAUUCGUCUGUUUUUCUCACAGAGACUGCUUUUUUCACAGCUUUAGCCGAAUUCAAUUAUGAGAUUUCUUAUUUUGUAUUUAAAAUUUAAAAUAAAUGCUAUUAUACAAUUACCAAAAUAUUUUCCAGCAAACAAUUUCAUAUAGUUGUGAAAAUAGGAACUCAUUUAGGUUAAGUUUGAACUUCAUUACUCUCAAAAUCUCUUAGAUUUAUUGAUUUUUGUGUGGGCAAAAUUGUUCUGUGUAUCCUCAAGCAUUUAAGUCUUUACAUGUAUUCUGCCUUGAACAAUUUGAUAGUUUAGAGCUUUUUUAAAGUUUUGUUAUAGGUUUUUUUUUUUUUUUUUGUGAAAUAUGAGGUGGCUGGAAUAUAAGUAGUUGGAUGUGUGCAUAUCUCAUUUUUAAAUUUUUUCUGGUGGUGAUCUGAUGAAUGUCAUAAAUUUCAUCAACCUAGGCUCAUUUAGAUUAGGAAUCUCGCCUGAGAUUGUUGAAAUUGGACUGAGAUUUGUUGAAUGAGUCUUGAGAUUGUUCUACGUUUGUGUUCAUAUGCAUUAUGUGUUGGUUAUCGGGCUAGAUUUCACCCGAGAUUAACCAAGAUACAUCAUAGGAUGCAUAUAAAACACUAAUAUCGUGACAUCACAUGUAAAUAACCCAAGUACAUAGUGAAUUUAUGUUGUUCUUGACCGAGAUUGGAUCAAGAUUCCCUUGAGUUCUAAGACAAAGUACUUAUUUUCUUAUGUUACCUGUGUUCUCUGUUUGGUAAAUGCCUCUUGUCACUAAAAUUUGCAAUUCAAACAUUUUCCUUCCAAAAUUGACAUGUUCUCACUCGGCGAAAACUAUCUCCAAUAUUAAAAACAAGUUAACUCCUAGGCAAUUGUAUAUGUUUAGGAAAACUCCAUUCAAUCAUUUCUUGGACAUUAGGUUGAUGAUCAGUGGAUCUUUGUGUCAUUACAUCUUGUUAAGAGAGUUUGAGGAUGAUCGAUGUGACAUUAUCAAUUUUAAAUUUCUCAGAAGGUGUCUUUCAGACAAGAAGAUUUUGGCAUUAUUACGAGGUUGAGGUUGAGGUAUAGGUGAAGACAUGUUGUUGAGUUUGAACAGGAUAAAAGCUCUUAGAUUGAGACGCUUAUAUUUGGUUGGUAGGGCAAACAUGAAUGGGUCUAAAUUGGGUAAAGAUUACCAAAACCUUCAAUUUGAGAGUUACAAGCCUACGGUAUGAACCAUUUUUGUUCUUCUAAAGUUAUUUUUGUCACGAAUGAAUUAACCAUUUCUGUUCAAAUACCUAUAGUGACAAUAUUUUUUAUAUUUUUUAAGUUAUAUUUUCGAAACAAGAGUAUUUUAUGAUACAAAACAUUAAAGUUUUUCAUCUAAAUGCAACUGUAAGGGGCCGUUUGGGGAAAGAAAUGAAUAAGGGGGAAAAGAAUAAGGAAAAUGGGGGAUUAAGUGGAGGAAAGGAUUAUUAUAAUCCUUGUUUGAGGGAAGGAUUAUGAGGAUUAUUUAUAAUCUUUGUUUCGGAAAGGAUUAAGUGGAAUGAUUGUGAGAGAUUAUUUAUAAUCUGGGAGAAGAUUAUGUCAGAAGGAUUAAAACCAAAAUUGUAUUUUUUUUAUUAUUAUUUAUACAUUAACCUGAAUAUGAGAUUAAAUGUAGAAUUGUUUUUUUUCCUGUGAAUGAAAUUCUUUGUUUUUUUCGUGAACCCUAUACAAAAUGAAAAAUGUGCUAAUAUAUGUUGCAAACUUUGUUGAUACCGUUAAAGCCUCAACAAAAAAUUGUAUUCAAAUUAAUUUUUUUAGUUAACCGUAACCCAAGCGUUCACAAAAAAACACGAAUUGAUUUUUUUUUUGUUAAUUUUGUAUAAAUAUUUUUUUUACUACAAUAUCCCUAAUACACUUUCAAAAUUGAAUUAGAUGUUUUCCAUGUGUACGAUAUGCUUAUGGAAUGAUUUCCAUAAACCAAAUACAAAAUAAAAUAUGUAUUAAUUUUUUUUGCGUUUGUCUAAACUUAUUUAUUUUUUUCGUACGGUUUUCAAGAAACGACGAAUAUUUAUAUUAAAAUAAUGUUUAUAUUUCAUUUCAACUGUAACCUCAACACACAACACAUAUGUAUUAAUUAUAAAGUUGAUUUUGUAAAAAACAAAUUUGGACCAUACGCGCAAUACACAAUACAAACAAAUUGUAUUAUUUUUUUCUAUUUGUGUAAACUAUGUUUCUCAAGUUAUACCGUAAAUAGAAGGCAAAAAAAAAAAAAAAAUCUAAGUUUGUAUCGUCAAUCAUAUAGAAUAAAAAAUUGGAUUACGUUGGUUUUAUUUUAUUUUUUUCCAUUUUGAAGAUUUCUUUUUUCAUAUAUUAAUUUUUUUUCUCCAUGAGAACGAUGAGCAACAUAAUAGCGGUUAAAGCCAACGACUAUUUUUUUGAAUUGCAAUUAACGAAAAACAUAACGGGCUAAUGCAAACUACAUGCAAGAGCUUACCUAUCUCACCACUUGGCAUUCUUAGUGGGGUAAGUGUCCUGCAUGCAAUAAGCCACUUGCAUAUCACAUGCAAGUGAUAAGCUUACCAAAUCUUAACAAAUGUUAUUAUUUAAAUUAGUCUAAGGACAAUAUGGUAAUUCAACAUUUAAAUCAAAUUCAAAGUUCGAGUUUUUCAAGCCCAAAGUCAACAUUUUGACUUUUAACCAUUUUGUCCAUCUUGACUAAUUUCAACCUUCCAAGCAUCAAUUCGUAUAAAUUUCUUCAAAAUUUAAAUCACAUUUGAAUAUAAAGUCAUCCAAAGUUUGAUUUUUCAAAGUCAAAAGUCAACAUUUUGACUUCUUACUUCUUUACCAUUUUCAUCAAUUUUGAGCUUCCAAAUAUGAAUUCAUAUUCAUAUUUAAAUUACAUUUAAACAUGAAGCUUUAUCUUAAAUUAUAAUCGAUGACUAUAUUCUAAUUCUAACAAUUCGAAUUAUUCCAUCAUAAUGUUCUAAGUUGAUUCCUUAUGAGCUAGUGGGGGAACCUAAUGGAUCUAUAGAUCAAGGGUUCUAACGAUCUGAGAUUAACUGACUAAACUGUUUAGAUCGAGUUAAUCAACCUUCGUUAACUAAUGAGUCAUUCCACUAAAGUCCCGUAGUUGCACUCCCCUCACUAUAGAUAUAUUUGUGUCCAUGUGAUAUGACAUGAUAAGUAAGUUAAUCUUUCACAAGUUGUUCAUGAUCUCGACUGGGUCAAAGCACUGUUUUACCCCGACAUUAUAUCUUUUUUCUUUAAGUCCCACUGAUCCACUAUUAAAUAAUUGGUUUUAGGUCCAACCUAUAAACUGAAUCCCUCUCGGGCCAAUGAAAGGGUGGGGCCCUUGUUCAAGACUUGGAUUCAAUCAUUAAGGGAACAACCUAUCUACUAACCCUAGAGUGGUAGGAGUGAAUUCCGUCUUGCACCCUAUGUCCCUAGCUAUCCACCCGAUCUUACCCCUGAAAUGGGAGGCUUAUUGAGCCAACGCCAUUGAGCUCCCUCACUUAUGCAGAUCUAUCAAUAAUUUCACGUGAACAGAAGUUCAUAGUUAGUUCAUUUUUAAAUUAAGUUACAUUGGAUAUCUAUAAACGAAAUAGUCAGUUUUACAAAGUUAACGGUGUUAUAACUUAAAAGCGACUAUCUCAUGGUUCCAGUCUUAUGUCAACUCUUUACAUAGAAUGCCCCCACUUCCAUGUCUCUUACCCUAUUUUAGCGACUUACCCUAUUUUAGCGACUUCUAUAGGUCGAGCUAUUCAAACCUCUCUUGAAUUCUUGUAAACAAAGGGAUCAGUCAAGAAUCCAAAAUAGUUAUUAACACACACCGUCGUAAAGAGAGAGAGAAAUUCCCUUAUUAUCAUAAUCCUUUUUUCGUGAUCGAUCAUCUCUCAAGAAUAUCUCUGUCUUAUGGCACCUCUCCUUUCCAACUAAAGAAAGUCAAAGAAGAGGAGUAGCAACUUCUUAGGGAUCUCAGUUCUGCAAAAGCUAGAGAAAGCCUAUGCAAAAUCAACCACAACAGCAAAAGAAUGUCCUUCAGCAGCAAGGUGAAAAGGAAUAUUGCAUCCUUCAUUGAUUUGCUUAAGGGGCUAGUUAAGGAGUCUCCUCAUUUAACCUCUCAUUCUCAAAGUUCGCCUCUCUUAUGCUUUUUGAUCGAUCUGAGAUGAGAACAACUGUGAUUAAGACAAUGAUUGCAUAAGGAAAGACAGACCCUAUCGUUAGAGAUAUUCCCUACUCAAUUUGGAUCCAAGGGAAAGCUUCUUCUUGAAAUAGUACUUUUGACUACUCACUUUCAGUGAUCGUAACCUAAUGGAUGGAAGAAUUUCGUACCUCCUCAAAGGAAAGAUUACAUUGGGGUCCGUCCCACUCUUUCAAGGCCUUUCUUCUCAGGCAUAAAGAUAGGGCUUUCUUUAGCACUAUUGUGAUUUACUACUACAGGGUAGUGUAGGCUACCGUCCUUAUGCUUUUUGUGGAUUUAGAAAGCACUUGAACAGUUUCCACAUUCGCUGUGAAAUGAGCUCCAACAAACUUUCCUUUCUUCCUUUGAGGCCUGAGACAGGUCAAUGAAUAAGGGCUACAAUUCUUAUAGUUCAUAAAGAAAUUCACUCUUUAGUCUAUUCCCAAUCCUAGUCCUUUGAGAUUCUUUAGGUUCUGUGUACUAGACGUCGUCGACCCUCUCAAACGUGGAAAAGACUCUUUCCUCACUCAUUGAGCUUGAAAAAGUAGCCCACGUGGCGGUAUUCAGUCUUCACCCCCACUCUGCGGUUGAGGCAUUUGUUCUCGAAGGAGAAGGAUAGUCGCUCAACAAAGUUUACGAACAAGAAGGCGCCAUAGGCGGGAACAAAGAAUAUUGCUCAAAGGUUUUAGCUUUAUUUCUAUGUGGGCCACUCUUUUUCCAUGGAGGCAAGGACCAUCUCAAACUACCUUAGAAGAGGCAGGAAUUAAGAGACAGUGUCUGCUCUCGUGGCGGCCUUAUCUCUUCUUAUGGCACUUCUACCAUUGGAGGUUUCAAUCCUUCUUCUUUUGAAAGAGAAAGAUGCCUUAUGCAUGCAUUGGCCUCUAGCAUAUUUCUUUAUUUAUUGGUCAUAUGUCAAUUUUUCUCCCUGGUUUUUCUUUCUAUUUGCCUUAUCAAAUAAGAAGCGCAACCCUCAACAAAGGCGACACCUUAAACAAGGGCUACUGCUCUCCCUCUACAUCCCUUUCCUUUCUUUAAUGGGGGAAAGAUUGUCAGAGAUCUUAUUCAAGAUCUAAACUCUGGAAAGGAGUGCCUCCUUUCCUUUCCCUUCGCCUUCAUAAGUCAGGCUAUGAAAAUAGAUUGUAAGUGAACCGCUUACCAUUCAGACUGAUCUAGGAGACGGGUCGAGGUGUGGAGUUUUCUUCUUUCUUGCUUUGAUAUGUCCCACGGUCUUUUGAGCUAGUCUACUUUCUCUCUGCGGUUAGCUUCAGAAACUACCCCACUGAGAGGUGGAGUAUAACCUUUCCGGGAGAUCGAUACCCUGAUCUCGCUCAAGUAAUAAGAAGAUAAAGUGCUCAAGACUAUGUAAGAAGAUAUGAAAAAAAAUUGAAUUUUGAAAGCUCUGAUCUUUCAUACUCUUAAUUAUAUCCACGAAGCGGUAGGCUGAGCACCUUGAUGUAUAGGCCUUAUGAAUAUGAGCGAUAGCUUCCGAUAUGGAAAGGGGAAAGCAGGACCCACUUGAGGGUCAAGAAAUAAGAAGAGAAGAUAGAGUAAAGUCGAGUCCUCUAAUUCUCAUCCAUUUCUCCAACUUCGUCUCCUCAACUGCGUAAACUGUAGGUCUCUUUCUUCUCCUCGUUCAUAAUGCACACCUCUUCCCUUCUCAUAAUAAUCUUUUGAAUAGUCAAGAUCAUCAUAAAAAGCCUUGUUAGUCUUGUCUCAACUUCUCCUACUCACUCGAGCCUAACUACUCUCCUUCUCUUUCUUUCAUACUAAGUUGAUAGUGAAAAGAGAGAAAAUUACUAGUUGGGACUUCGACCUUUAAUCAUAGAUCUCAUGAAAGAGAUAAGGCUACUUCUCUUUCUGCAACUGAAAGAAGAAGAAUCGCGACUGCCAAAAUCCCUCCCACGGGAUGAAAAUAAUACUUUUAUUUAUCCACAUUGAUAAAAGAAAGUUCAAUAUUCUUUUUUUAGUGGAAUAACACUCGUCCUCUUACAUACUCGUUCUUCCAGUCGUCUGAACCAAGAAUAUCCUUGUCUUAUGGAGCUUUGUCUCUGCACAAACAUUAUUUUUCAUAGUCGAAUAAAAUAUCAAAAGAGAAAGAGAGAAUCAUUUAUGAAGAAGAAAUCAUUCUCAAGCUCUUCUUUUUCUCUCUCUUCUCAAUGAAUCGAGUCUUCGAACCUGCGAAAGUGCUCAAGAUUAUUUAAGAUAGAAUAAUGAAAUAGUAGUUUCUCAAGCUCUUAUUAAAGACAUAAGUCGUUUAUUACCACAUUCCGAAAGAGAUUAUGAAAGAGAAAAGAUAAAUGAAUGAAAUAUUCCUAAUCCAUAAAUCUCAGGUGAAGGACUAAUCAAAUGAGUUCAAAGAGAAGAAGAGGUCAAUUGCAGAAAAGAAUGAACUUAUGAGCUGGAGAUGGAAGAGCGAAGAAGAUAGGAGGCCAAGCCAAGAGUCAUCAAGAAGCCGUCGGAUCCCAAAAAGAAAGGUCUAGAUGAAAAGGAAGAAAAGGAAAAGGCCGAGUAUUUUGUCCUAGUUAAGCCUAAGACCUAGGUGAAUGAAUCUUGAAGGGUGCCUGAUUUGCCUAUUAGGUAGUAGUAGUCUUGGUUUCAUUGUAUUCCCCAUAUCGAAAGGAAGUUCAGCCUAGGGUUAGGUGCUUUUUCCUUAUUUAGCCCAUGGAGCAGAGCAUAUGAGUCCUUUCAUGUAUCAGAGUUGCUACAGAAGAUCGACUGACUCGAUCCUCUGAUCCUACUCUACAUCACAGAGAAAUAAAGCAAAAAUCUUCUUUCCCACGCACCUCACGUCAGCUAAGGUUAUUCUUUCUUCCCAUAUAGUGGGCUGACUUUGCACCUAAAUGAUAGAACUAAGUCAUGCACAGCGGAAAAAGAAUCGAAUUUCUACCCUAAUUGCCACAAUUAACAUGUAACCAUAAACUAAUCAAAUUAGGGUUUUAAGAAAUAUUACCUUUGAAGCUUUCAAAAGGUUUGAUAUCUUCUUACCAAUUCUAACCGAGACCACCACUAGUACUCAACUGCUAUCCUCUAGACAAAGAACCGGGUUGUGGGACCCAACUUUGGUGUAGAAAGUAAUGGAGAUAAAAUGGGAUUGUAAGGUUUUUUUUUUUUUGUUGAGAUGAUGAAAAUGAUAAAAGAGGCAAAAGUUCUUCAACAUUUGAAAACCUCUAUUUAUAACCUAAUUACAUGCAAAAAUGCAUGCAAUUCAUUUGCCAAAUCUCAACCCCUAAUGUUCCACUAACAAUUAGUGGAACUUAGUGGGCUAGGUGUCUAUAUCUCAUAUAGCCACAUAUCCCACUAAGAGUUAGUGGGAUUAUCCAAUAAAUGUUGGAUUUUCCCACUAACUUAGUCCAAGGGUAAAAUGGUCAUUAGAUAUUUCUAGUCAAAAGUCAAACUUUGACUUUUCUUAGUCAAAAGUCAAUAUUUUGACUUUUUACCAUUUUGUCCGUCUUGACUAAUUCCAACCUCCCGAGCAUGAAUCCGCAUUCAUUUUUCCAAAAUUCAAAUCACAUUUGAAUAUAAGGCCGGUCAAAGUUUGACUUUUCAAAGUCCAAAGUCAACAUUUUGACUUUUUACUAUUUUUGACCAAUUCCAUCAAUUCCGAGCUUCUUAGUAUGAAUCCGCAUUCAUACUUAUAGUAUGUAAAACAUAAAAGCUCUAUUUCUAAUUAGAAGACCGACGACUAUAUCACUAUAUUUGUCGGUUUCCCUUUCUUCUCCCAAUUCGAACAAUUCGACUUAUUUCAUCACACUGUUCUAAGUUUAAUCCAUAUGAGCUAGCAGAGGAACCUAAUGGACUUAUAGAUCAUGGGCUCCAAUGAUUCAAGAUUAACUAGCUAAACUCUUUUAAACCGAGUUAAUCAACAUUCGUUAACUAACAGGUCAUUCCACUAAAGUCCCGUAGUUGCACUCCCCUCACUAUAGAUAUAUUUGUGUCCAUUUGAUAAAACCAUAAUCAGUAAGUUAAUCCUUCACAGGUUGCUCGUAACCUUGGCUGGGUCAAAAUACCGUUUUACCCCCAAGAUUACAUCUUGCUCCUUAAGUCCCACUAAUCCACUAUUGAACAAUUGGUUUAAGGUUCAACCUAUAAACUUAAUCCCUCUCGGGCCAAUGAGAGGGUGGGGCCCCUUGUUCAAGACUUGGAUUCAGUGCUUAAGAGAACAACCUAUCUACUAACCCUAAAGCGGGUAGGAGUGAAUUCCAUCUUGUACCCUAUGUUCCCAGCUAUCCACAUGAUCUUACCCCUGAAAUGGGAGGCUUAUUGGGCCAACGCUGAUGAGCUGCCCUCACCUAUGCAGAUCUAAGGAUAAUCUCGUGUGAACAGGAGUUCAUAGUUAACUCAGGAUUAAGACUAAGUUACCUAGGUCAUCAAUAAUUGAGAUAGUCAGUUUUAAACAGUAAACGGUGUUAUAACGUAAAAAUGACUAAUUCAUGGUUCAGUCUUAUGUAAACAUUUUACAUAGGAUGCCCCUACUUUCAUGUCUCUACAUGAACGAUUAGGAUCACCUCGUUUGUACUACAAAGUGGGCCGCAUCCAUAGUUUCUCUAAAUAAGGCGCCCAACCUUUAUUUCAUAUACUAUAGACUAUUUAGGCUAUAUACUCGAACUUGAUCCACGUUUAUGUUUACACAUAAAGUUCAAGUUUAUUCAAAAAAUAGCCUUGGAACUUGAUUUAUUGGAUUUAAGAUUAUAAUAUUUAAUUUCUCAAUAACAACUUUAUUGAACAGAAUAUGAUUUACAAACUACGAGUUUUAGGACAAAAAAUUCCAACACUAAAUCAGUCGAGAUAUUUUUACCUAUCUUUAAAGGCGAAGAAAUUGCAAUCCUCUUUAUUUAACUAACCUCCUCAAAAGAACUGGUCUCGUAAGAUGCCGAUGUUUAUGGACCUUUGUUCUUUGACCGCCUUGAUUUUAGCCUCUGAACCUCUUCAGAGGCUUAAAUAAUGAUGGAAGGACUUCUAAAUUCACAUGAGGAUCUUGACGGAUGAAAGUAGGGAAAUCGAAGUAUAUAUAUUUACAGACUAAGAGGUUCAAAGGCUAAAAUCAAGGGAAAUUGGGUCUUAUGGGGGAAUAAAAUUGCAUUUUUCCUUAUGGAAAGGAGGAAGAACACAAUAACUGUCUUUUCCCUUGAUUCCACUCAAGCACUCAAUCACCACAGAUCAUAUUAGAGGGUUCGAGAGCCACGGGCAAUUUCAGCCUACCCUUCCCUUGCUCAACUAUUCGUUUCAGAAAGUCUCUUUGUUAGGACUUGGGUGCGCCAGCAAGAGAAAAGCCUAAAAUCAAAGCUCUAGAUGAGUUGAACUUUCUUAUACGUUGAAAAAGGUUAAUGCACUCAAUCAAUAAUCUCUUAUUCUAUUUGAUUUUCUAAACGAAGAAAGCAUGAAAGAAAUUCAAAAUCAAGUAGAAGUAAAGAAGCAGAGCGGUUGCGAGACCAGUUGCAGGCUACGUGUUAAGGGUCGCAAUCUUAGUUGUCCUGGAAGUCGUCCAAGUGUCGGAUGCUCAAUCGGUAAGCUCGUUCAUGUCUGAUUUGUCGUCGACCUUUCUUCUUUCGCUAUUUACUGGGACUUUCUUCUCUGAGUUGAUUUUGUCCACUAAGUUUGGACCCCUUCUAAUUGGACUUUCGUUCUAACUUCUACUGAUCUAUAUGGAUAAAUCAGUCUCAUCCCCCCAUAAUUAAGUAGUGUCCACUAAAAAAGAGCAAAGCGAUAUGAAAUCUUUUUGUCAACGAUAAGGUUUCGUUUCUGGGUUUAGAGGCGGGGAAUACUUAAGAGGGUAAAAGAUCCCACUUUCUAGUAUUCCUCACAUGCUUUUCGUCUUCAAUUAAGGCCUUUGUUAUCAUCCAUGGUUAGAUCGGUGAAUGCGAGAAUAGGUGGUCUAUUUCUUUAUUUCUUUCCUUUUCAUCUAAUAAAGAACCUUUUUGGACCCUUGAAUUGAGUGAAAGGCCUAGGGCCUUGGCAUUACAAUUCCAUGAUCUUGCGCAUUCCCGUGGAGCUCCUUUUUAGUGGACGCUACUUGAUUAUGGGGGGAAUGAGACUCUACCCUAAUCAAUAGAACUAAAGAGAAAGAACAAGGGUCAAAGAAUGAUCAAGGGCUACUUCCUAUGCGACUUCUACUUCUCCUAGUUGCGCAAGAUCUCUUGAUGGUUGUCUAGGCUGACCUACUUCUUCUUUUCAUGCUCCAACGACUUUUUCUUAUGGGUUUGACUCUCAUGAAUGUACCAAUUGGACUAUAAUCCCCGGUUUCCAUCCAAUGUGAGAGGUCAAAUCUCCAAAAUGAAUUAUGAAAGUUUGCAACCCAUUCGUUAGGACCCAUAUAGAGUUAAAGAAAAGUCAAGCUCCAUAAGAGUUGAAAUUGAGUCGAGCUAAAUAAAGUGAGAGAAGAGAAUGGCAGACUAGGUAGCUCUCCCUGUGAAUGGAAGAAGUUUUCAUGGAAUUCAUGACCCGACCUAUCUUUGCUACAUUCUUAUAUGAGUCCGACUAUCCUAACUCCCAUUCUUAGGCUUUUUUUCAUAUUAAGCUGCAUAGAACGACUGGACUUAAAGGAGAGGCGAAGGAGGAGUUGACAAAGAAUAUCGAGAAGUAAAGGAGUGAAUUGCAAUUCCAGGAAAAAGAGAGAGAAGAAAGAAAUAAGUCAAGAAGGAAAGACCUCAUACAAUAUUCUUUGCACCUCGUACCUCCCGCCUCAAUGAAUAAGGGGGGAAGGAUCAAUUGCGACGGACAAUACACACUUGAUUUUAGUUCGAAUGAACUUUGAUCAUUCUUUAAGCCUCUAAUACUUGCUUUAGAGAUAUUGAAACUUAUGCUACAAUAUGGGUUGCCUCCACCUGAUCGAGUUACCACCUCCUCGUCCACUUUCUGAUGUAAGAUUGAGAAUAGAGAAUGAUCAUAAACGAGAUUAUGAAUCUCAUGAAUUCACUAAGCUUUCCUACUUUCUCUACCACUUCUUCAACGAGAACAACCGCCUCAAUGAACAAGGGUGAGACGGCCUCUUGUCUUUCCUUUCGCCCAUGCCUACCUAGCUCUCCCAAGUAUUCGGUAUUCAAUGCUCUUAUCCAAUGAAAAGUCAUGAAUCGACAUGGAGGAGCGGAAGGUAUGAGACGGGUGAACUACCCACUCAAAGGAUCAGUUAUUUGCUAGGGUACGCGUAAAUCAUCGUCAGAUGUUUCCGUCUUAAUAAAGGGGCUUUCUUUCCUUAUUCAAUAACUCAAUUCAGAACUCAAAUUGGAAGCAAUCGACGACUAGAGAUUGAAAGGAGAAGUUUCCUAGUAGGGUCAAUCGAUCAGCUUUCACUUUCAAUAGGAGGAUGCAGCUCCCUAGCAAUCACAAGUAAGAGGGACUGAUCGAGCCACUGCCUCUGAAUUCAAAGCCUGUCAUGUCCCCACCCCAAACUAACACAGAUGAACAAGUAAAGUAGACAAACUCAUUAAAGUAGACAAUGACUCUGCCUUUAAAGAAGAAAGAAUGGAAAGUCUGAAAGAAGAGUACUUUUAUCGUAAACACUGGGGUGCAUCCUCAAUGGAGCAUUCCUUUCUCUAGAGCUAGAAAGGAAAUGGGAGAUCUCGAAGUGCGGCUUGUCUUCGACCAGUGAUUGAGUGAUUUAUAGACGAUGCCUUUCCCGUGUAGUGGGCCUUAUGAGAGAUCCAAUUCGGGUCUUGGGGAGGUUUGGGAGUUUCUUUCUUCUGCCACUAACUUCCACCUUGUCUGGUCAUCCUACUCCUGCAUUCAUUCGUAUAUAGAAAAUAUGUCGCUUUUAAGCUAAGCAAGGACACCAAAUAGAAUUCUCUUUCCCCUCCUAUUGGGUUGAAGUAGAAAAGUUUGAUUCAUGAACUAGUCCAUCUCGAACUCGACUCAUAGGUUGCUGAUUAGGUCAUUUCGCUCUGCGUAGAAGGAGGCUUAAUGAAUAUGAGUUCCCAAAGGCUAAUUAAUUCAAUGAAAAUACAUAAGAAAGAGUACAGAUGUCCCACCAAUUCAAUCCUUUGAACUUCAAAACCGAAGAGAAAGGACUCGCCCGCUCCGUUGCCUCCUUAAUUAGGGACAUAAGCUAGGGCUUGAUCUAAAUCAUCUGUCGAAAGAGCAUCUUUUGGUUCUAGGAUCUUCGCCUUCGUUGAUUGGCUUCUAACCUUUGAGCGAGGAGAGUGAUUUCAUUAGUAAACUGGAAAGAUUUGUAGAACGCACAAUUUCAAAUGAAAGAUCUGGGAGAUGCACAAUACAUUCUCAGAAUCCAAAUUGUUCGAAACCGAAAGAACAAAACACUAGUCAUGUCUCAAGCAUCUUAUAUAGACAAAAUGUUGUCUAGGUAUAAAAUGCAGAAUUCCAAAAAGGGUCUGUUGUCGUACAGAUAUGGAGUUCAUUUGUCAAAGGAACAAUGUCCUAAGAUACCUCAGGAAGUUGAGGAUAUUAGAAAUAUACCCUAUGUUUUCGCUGUUGGAAGUUUGAUGUAUGCAAUGUUAUGUACUAGACCUCACAUUUGCUACUCAGUAGGGUGGUCAGUAGGUAUCAAUCCAAUCCUGGAUGUGAUCACUGGACAACCGUUAAGAACAUUCUAAAAUAUCUUCAAAGAACAAAAGACUACAUGCUCGUGUAUGGUACAAAGGAUUUGAUCCUUAUUGGAUACAAUGAUUCUGAUUUCCAAACUGAUAAACAUGCUAAAAAGUCUACAUCAGGAUCAAUAUUCACUCUAAAUGGAGGAGCAGUGGUUUGAAGAAGCAUAAAGCAAACUCGUAUAGUUGAUUCCACAAUGGAAGCUGAAUACGUAGCAGCUUGUGAAGCAGCAAAAGAAGCAGUAUGGCUAAGAAAAUUCUUGACAGAUCCGAAAGUCAUUCCAAAUAUGCAUCUACCAAUCACUUUAUACUAUGAUAAUAGUGGUGCAGUUGCAAAUUCAAGAGAACCUAGAAGCCAUAAAAGGGGAAAGCAUAUUGAACGCAAGUAUCAUCUUAUCAGGGAAAUUGUACAUCGUGGUGACGUUGUAGUAACUCAUAUUUCUUCUGAGCAAAACAUUGUUGAUUCUUUUACAAAAGCCCUCACGGCUAAAGUGUUUGAGGGUCACCUACACAGUUUAGGUCUACGAUGUUUGUAAACUAUGACAAGUGGGAGACUUAUUGGGCAUGUGCCCUAGUUGUAUAUAUGUUUAUUCUAUCUUGGUUAAAUUCAACAUUGUUUUAUCCCACUAGGAGUUUUAGUCCAAGUGGGAGUUUGUUGGAAUUUUUGUCCUAAAACUCGUAGUUUGUAAUUAUAUUAUGUUCAAUAAAGUUGUUAUUGAGAAAUUAAAUAUUAUAAUCUUAAAUCCAAUAAACUAAGUCUCGAGGCUAUUUUUUAGUAAACUUGAACUUUAUGUGUAGACAUAAACGUGGAUCAAGUUCGAGUAUAUAGCCUAAAUAGUCUAUAGUAUAUGAAUAAUGGAUGAGCGCCUUAUUUAGAGAUACUAUGGAUGCGGCCCACUUUGUAGUAAGUACAAACGAGGUGAUCCUGAAUCGUUCAUGUAGAGAUAUGAAAGUGGAGGCAUCCUAUGUAAAGUGUUUACACAAGGCUGAACCAUGAAUUAGUCACUUUUACGUUAUAACACCGUUUACUGUUUAAAACUGACUAUCUCGAUUAUUGAUGACCUAGGUAACUUAAUCUUAAUCCUGAACUAACUAUGAACUCCUGUUCACACGAGAUUAUCCUUAAAUCUGCAUAGGUGAGGGUAGCUCAUCAGCGUUGGCCCAAUAAGUCUCCCAUUUCAAGGGUAAGAUCGGGUGGAUAGCUCGGGACAUAGGAUGCAUUACGAAAUUCACUCUUAUCCGCUUUAAGGUUAGUAGAUAGGUUGUUCUCUUAAGCACUAAAUCCAAGUCUUGAAUAAGGGGCCCCUCCCUCUCAUUGGCCCAAGAGAGAUUAAGGUUAUAGGUUGGACCUUAAACCAAUUGUUCAAUAAUGAAUUAGUGGGACAUAAGGAGCAAAAUGUAAUCUUGGGGGUAAAACGGUAUUUUGACCUAGCCAAGGUUACGAACAACCUAUGAAGGAUUAACUUACUGAUUAUUAUUUUAUCAAAUGGAUACAAAUAUAUCUAUAGUGAGGGGAGUGCAACUACGAGAUUUUAGUGGAAUGACCCGUUAGUUAACGAAUGUUGAUUAACUCGAUCUAAAAGAGUUUUGCUAGUUAAUAUUUGAAUUAUUGAAGCCCAUGAUCUAAUUGUCCAUUAGGUCCCUCUGCUAGCUCCUAUGGAAUAAACAGUGUGAUAGAAUAAGUCGAAUUGUUCGAAUUGGGAGAAGAAAGAGAAACCGACAAAUAUAGUGAUAUAAUCAUCGAUCUUCUGAUUAGAAAUAGAGCUUUAUGUCUAAAUAAUAUUGUAAUACUAUAAGUAUGAAUACAAAUUCAUACUAAGAAGCUUGGAAUUGAUGGAAAUGGUCAAAGUUGUAAAAAAUCAAAAUGUUGACUUUUGACUUUAGAAAGCCAAACUUUGACCGACCUUAUAUUCAUGUGAUUUGAAUUUUAGAAAAAUGAAUGCAGAUUCAUGCUCGGGAGGUCGGAAUUAAUCAAGAUGGACAAAAUGGUAAAAAGUCAAAAUAUUGACUUUUGACUUGAAAGGUCAAUUGACCAUUUUACCCUUGAACUAAGUUAGUGGAAAAAUCUAACAUUUUGUUGGAUAAUCCCACUAACUCUUAGUGGAAUAUGUGGCUACAUGAGAUGUAGACACCUAGCCCACUAAGUUCCACUAAUUGUUAGUGGAAUAUUAGGUAUUGAGAUUUGGCAAAUUAAUUACUUGCAUUUUUGCAUCUAAUUAGGUUAUAAAUAGGGGUGUUUUCAAAUUGUUGAAAUUUUUUUGGCAUUUUUCUAGUAAUUAGAAAUUACUAUUUUUUCAUACUCCAAUAUCUCAACCAAAAAUUUCUACCUUCCAAUUUCAUUUUAUCUCCUUUAUUUUCUACACCAAAUUGGGUCCCACAACCCGGUUCUUUGUCUAGAGGGAUAGUAGGUGACUACUAGCGGUGGUCUCGGUUUGAAUUGGUAAGGAGAUCUCGAAGAUUUUCGAAAGCUUCAAAGGAAAUAUUUCCUAAAACCCUAAUUUGAUUAGUUUAGGGUUACAUGUUAAUUAGAGGCAAUUAGGGUAGAAUUUCGAUUCUAUUUUCGCUGUGCAUGUCUUAGUUCUAUCAGUUCAUUGAUUGUGUACUAAUCAAAAGAGCUUGAACUCCGAAAAUCUACUCUAACCUAUCUUUAGAUAUUAUGUCACUCAAAGCGAUCAUGCAAGAUGGGUUUCAGAAAUGGUGACUCAAUGGACUCCUUCUCUGUCUUUUCCCUAUAUGGUUCCCUCAUAAGUAAAGUAAAGUCAUCUUAGCCUCAAUGAACAAGGACUCGAGCCGCCGUUUCCAUAACAGAAGUCGCUAUUGAAACCAUCAGAUAGUUCAUUAUAGCAUUUAAGAAAGAAACUCGGUUUGAAAUCUAAGAUUGACAACUAUUUUUUCCAUUAAUCAGUCCUUCGUUUUUUUAGUUCUCUCAUCAUCAAAUUUCAUUGAUCUAUCGCUCUAUAUGAGCCUAAUGGAGCGGUUUUGCAAUAUACUUUUUGCCUAUGGACCAUCCGAAACACUAAUCUUUCUUCCUUUGCUAUGCCCAUAUGAACUAAUAGAUUUUUCGCAUUUCCCGGCCGAUCAUUACAAUGCGAGUCAAAGGGGUUAAAAGUCGCGCGCUCAAUAGAGACCCUUUAUGGGGGAUUCCAGUUCGACAACAAGUGAAAAGAAAGUAGCAGCAGGUUGAUCGCUAACAUAUGAGCCUUUUCGCUUGGGUGCUUUCUUCAUCCAUCGUACAAAAGUACUUGAAUCCAUAGAAUGUGAAAACUCUAAAUUAUCCGAAAAGGAAGAACGAAAGCAGAAUCUCCAUCCCAUUGACAAAGACAAACGAUUGUGAACACUUUAAGAUUGAACAUGGAACAAAAUAAAACCACUGACAAUGAAGAUCAAAGAGAACACAUGGAAUGAUCGUUUCAAUCAAAACAAUAUGAUAUCCGGGAAAAUAACUAAUCAUCGGCACGCGAAUAGAAGGAAGAAAUAUUACCUCGACCCUACCUUGCUCGAAACCACCAAAGGGAAAAAUAUUACCUCGACCCUACCUUGCUCGAAACCACCAAAGGGAAAAAUGUAAGGUUUAGAAAAUCGGUGUGGAUCAAAAUACCGUGAAGAAGAUGAUGUUGAACGAUGGAGAAAAACCAGUGAGUGCCAAAGAGGGUAAAAAUACUGUAAGAUCUAGGGAAGUAGGUUGAGAGAUAGAUCAAUUUUGGGGAAUAGAUUUCGGCAAAAUAGAGAGAGGAAAAGUGUGUAGAAGAAGAGAGAACCAUUGGUCGAGCGGAUGUAGAAGGAAUAAGGAUGAUUAAAUUUAGUCAUUUCCGUGAGUCAAUUUCUUUGGAAUAACAAGAGAUAUAUCAACGUUUUUAAGGGUCAUUUUGAAAAAUGGCAAAACUACUUUUUCUUUUAAAUUUUAGCAAAUAACAUUUUUUGCACGUGCAUUAUAUUUUAUAAAAUACCAAAAUAUCUCCUUCUCCAACUAUAAUUAUUUCGUUUCUACAUUGUACUUAAUUUAGGUUAUUCAUUUAUCUGCUUUUAAUUAUUUUUUACCUCGAAAAGAUACAGCAACCCAUAUCAUAACUUUUUUUUCUUAAUAUCUCGGGACUCAACUAAUUGAUUCAACAUUUUAAUAACUUUAUUCAAUCUUACUAAUUUCAAAAUAACCAAAUUGACUUUGAAUUUCAAAAUAACCCAAUUAAAUUUCAAAAUAACAAAAUUAUUAUUUUUCAGAAUUUGAGAAUCUGAACGAUAGAUUUUGUAUCAAAAUAACAUUAAUUAAAUUUCAAAAUUAAAAAAAUAUCACUUUGUUUGCUAUCUUAUCUCAAAAUAACAUUAAUGGCUUGAAUACCAAAAUAACUCAAUUAUUAUUUUGAAAUGGGGAGAAUCUCAACCUUAAUUUUAUUUUAAAAUAAAUUUCAAAAUAACCAAUUUAUUAAUUUUUGAAUUGGAGAAUCUCAACUAUUGAUUUUAAAACGCAAUUUCAAAAUAACCCAAUUAUUAUUUUGAAUUUAGAAGAAUUUCAACCAUUGAUUUUAUUUCAAAACAACGUUUUAAUACCAAAAUAACAUUGAGCUCAACCACCAAAAUAACCAAUUUAUUAUUUUGAAUUAAAAUUUUAUUGUCAUUUUUUUCAAGUGAGAACUUGCUUAUUUGUUUGUUUUCCAAUGUUUCUUAUUCUUAUUAAAUUAUAAUUAACUUAUUCUAAAAAUAUAGCAUAUUAUAUAUAUAUAAAAACAAUUAGUUUAAUUGUGUUUAGGAAGAUUUUUAAACCAUGUUCAUUUGACUUAAUAACAUUACUUAAAUUAUAAUUUCUAUCGAUAUUAGUUUAAAAGUGUAAUUAUUUCAAUAUACUGCGGUCUUAUCAAAAGUCUUUUAUGUGUAAUUAAUUUGCAAUAGACAGUUCUGAGUUUAUCAAAGUUUUUCAUUAUAAUUAAUUUAUGAUAUGCAAUUAUGAGUAUGCGUGUUAAUAAGGUAGAGAAUCAUAUCCUAACCUCUUCCUAAUAUCUCGGGAUUAAAAAAAUAUCAAUAACUUUAUUCAUUUUUUUAUUUCACCACUAUUAAAGUUCUUAACAACUUUAUUCAUUUUUUUAUUUCAAAAUAAUCAUAUUAUUAAUUUUUAUUGGCUAAAUCUUAAUCUUUUCGUCAAUCUUUAAUAAAUUGUAAAUUAAAAUUAGUUUUCUAAUUAGAUCUUAAUUUACUUUUAAAUUUUGAAUUUGAAAAUUAAAAUUAGUUUUUGUACGAAGAUCUCAAUUUUUUUUUAUUAUUUGGAAAUUAAACCUCACCCUUUUUUUGUUUCAAAAUAAGUUGAAUCUUUUGAUCCUUAAUAAUUUAAAAAUUAAAAUUAGUUUUCAUAUUAGAUCCUAAUUUAUUUUUCCAAUAAAAUAGCAUAAGAUAUUGUGUUUUUGUAUAAAAUCUCCCAAAUUUUAUUAAAUAAUUAAUAUAAAUAUAUAUAUAUAUUUAAAAAUCAGCAAAAAAAUUUAUAAGAGACGAGGAAGAUAACUUUUGUAUCUUUUUAAUAUUAUGAAAAUUUUAAUAUGAAUUAUUAAAAACACAAAAAAAAUAUCUUGUUUUGUUGUUUAUGUCUCAAUCUACAAAAUUUAGGAGUAUUAAUAUUAGAAUAAAAUUUAUAAUCUACCUAAAUUUUGUCAAGUAAAAUCUUUAAUUAAAACAAAUAUGAAGUUAAAAUAUUUUUAUAAGGGAUUGAGCUAAGAAAGCAGUACUCUUUGACGUAGUCUAGCUAUUAAGAGGGAAAGCAAAGUUCUCUUAGUUUUUCUUAUUUAUUCGCGUUCUUCUCAAUAAAUAACAAAUCAAUUCUAUCUUUUUUCUUUUUAACCGUCGAGAACUUCUCAAAGAUUAACCUUUUAAAAUAUUUAAAAAAUACAUUGAAUUUAUAUUUUGUUUAAUUAUAGAUUUUAUUUGGAAAAUUGUGAAAGAUAAUGUUUGUUUAUAAUAUAUUUAUAAAAAUAUUGAACUUUUAAAAAUAUUUAUAAAAAUAUAUUGAAUUUAUAUUUUGUUUUAAUUAUAGAUUCUAUUUAGAUAGAUAUUAUUAGUUUAGAAAAUAUUUAUCAAAAUUUUGAAUUUUUGAAAAUAUUUAUAAAAAUAUAUUGAAUUUAUAUUUGUUUUAAUUAAAGAUUUUACUUGACAAAAUUUAGGUAGAUUAUAAAUUUUAUUCUAAUAUUAAUACUCCUAAAUUUUGUAGAUUGAGACAUAAACAACAAAACAAGAUAUUCUUUUUUGUGUUUUUAAUAAUUCAUAUUAAAAAUUUUUGGAGUGAAGGUUUUUGUUUUUCCACUCCAAGCGUUUGAGAUUGUAGGUUGUAGACUUGAAAAUCAAAGAUAGAAGAUGAAAAAUGAGAUAAUAUUUGCAUGCUUCAAAUGUUUAUAUUAUUUUUUUUGAAAAUGCAUGAUGAAGUUUCUUUUUUAAAAUGCAUGAUGGAGUUGAAGAUAAACCUCAAACUUCAAACGAAAGAGGGUAGAGAUUGGAGGUUGCCGCUUCAAGGUGGAAAGAUUAGGCUUUGUCCACUCGAGAAAGAUGAGAUCAAAAAUGAAAAAUGGAUAUGAAGGAAGAGAAAAUGGAAGAUGAGAAACGAAAAAUAAAAAAAAAAUGUAUUUAUUAUAUUUUAGGGUAGUUUACACUUUAUCUACUUAAUGGUAUUUUGGGUUUUUGCAAAUUCUUAUUUAUUGUUUUUCUUUUUUUCAUUUGGUCAUUUUUUAACUUUAAAAUUGCUAUUAUUAUUUAAAAGUAUGUUUUUGGAAAUUUUUUUAGACACCAACGCGAAGCACUGGAUAGGCUCAACUUCCUUUCACAAAACCCUUCAGCCAUUCACACUCUCAAUCUUUCAUCCCUCCAAUUUCUCACAAAAUCCUCUCUCGCCGACUUCCAUCGACACAGAAAGUAAUCGAAGCAACUCUCCAACUUCUGAAGCCCAAACCAUUUGCUGGAGCUAAUGUGUUCGUCUCUCGUAAUCUUGUCGCUUCGGAGAUGUUCGAUCCUUUUCACGACGCUCUCAAGCAGAAUGGGGCUGAGGUUUUCCUCUGUUGCGAUCCCUCUCAAAACGCCCCUAACGACUAUCAUGUUAUCUCCUCCGCCGAUCACGUACCAAACGUCUCAUCCAUUUCUUGUUCAAUUUAUAUGGCUACUUCGGAUUGGCGAUGUGUUUAUUGGUUGUUGAUUCCUGCUUUCAGGCAAAGUUCGAGGAUCUUCGCGCCAAGGGAUGCAACUUGUUAGGUAUAGUUAAUUUGUAGUUCCAGCCUUUUCUUUCUUUCUUUUGCGGAAUAGAAUUGGAGAGAAAUUUUCGACUGGAGAACGAGAUUAACAGGAAAUUGAAUGUCUCCGUUAAUUUGUCAAAUGUAUAGUUACCGCAUUGCAGUUAAUAUUUGUCAGUGCAUGCUGCAUGUACGCAGUAGCCGAGUAAUAUAUACUUCACUGCUCUCUCUUUCCGAAUAGCCAAACAGAGUUGUUUGAAAUUCUCAUUUCAGUCCGACGCCUGGGAUUUGGUGCGUCGCUGACAACUUGAAUUUCUGUUGGGAAGGUCCUCAGUGCGUGAUGUCAUGUGCAAAAAGAGCACAGACCUCUUCCUCAACAGGGUUAUACUUGCUGCCUUGCCAUGGAUGGUGUGAAAAUCUUGGCAUCCGGUUUUCAGGAAGAUGAAAAGGUACGUUGCAAAUGUUCCUAGUCCACCCAUCUUUUUUCUUAUUAGUAAUUAGUAAUUUUAUUUUUGUAGAACUAAUGACACAAAAUUGCAUUGCAGGUUGAGAUAGGGAAGUUAGUUAGUGCAAUGGGGGAGUAUUGCAUACGAAAGCAUCACUAGAUGUCAGUUUUGUUAUCGCGAAGAAUGCUUUGGCUGCGAAAUACAAGGUCGUGUUGCUUGAACUUUCGAUUUUCUUGACGUGAUAUGUAUGUGUAUGUAGACCAUUUCAUGAAUAUCACGUGAAUCAUAAGAUUUGAGUCAAUUAAACUCCACAAAAUUCAUUUUUCAAUCAAUUUAGACCUUUAAUCACGGUUACCUUUAAAUUGAUCUAAUUGAUAUAACUAUAAGUUUCACACAAAUUUUUCAAAAUGAAUGUAAUAGAGGGCGUAAAUUGAUACACUAACAAAAGCCAGGUUUAAAUUGAUACAAUCUCUACAGUUUGGGUGUAAAUUGAUAUUCUCCCUUAAUUUAAUUGUUAAAUGCGUAAUAGACUUAAUAAUGGUUUUUAGUUUUAUUCUACCUGAAAUUUACUGCAAAGGUUUUGACAGAUACUUCAUAUUAUUUUCUCUGUUUUCAGUGGGCACUAAACAUUUCAAAGAAACCAAUCGUGUCAUUUUCUUGGUUACAACAAUGCUGGAUUGAACAUCGUGUUGUGCCUCAGGAGGGAUAUCGGGUCCUUCCAUUUUCUGGACUGAAUAUUUCGGUAUCUGGAAUUCCUGCAGGUUGUGUUUUAUAAUAUUUUAUUUCUUCUCAAAGAAAAUUGUUUUCUUGUAUUUCUUCUUAUUUAUGGUCCUCUUGGGGACAUCCGAUAAAAUUGUGUUAGUUCCAUCAUUUCUGGGUCUCAGGUGAGUGCAAGGAGAUGGCAAAGCUUAUCUUGCAAAAUGGUGGAAGAUAUUCUGCCGAUCUCACAAGAAAGUGUACACAUUUGAUAUGUGAUAUAUCCUUUUUGCAUUUUUUUUCUUGGCGUUACUUUUGAUCUUUUCGCUUCUUGUUUGAAGCACUCAAAUUUAUGUGCUGGAAAAACAUCUUACUGCAGCUUAAGUUACAGAAUAAAUGGAUAGGGAUAAUAAAUACUAUAAAAAUUAACUUUGAACAAUAUGUCUUGGGAUCUUUCAUAAGGGCCUCUAUUUCUUUUCAAGUGCUAUUAUUGGCAGUAUUUGACCGUAAUAGUUGCAACUGCUUUAGUUUGUUUCAUUGUAUUUUGAGCAUUAGUCUCUUUAAAUUUUACCAAGGAAAAGUCUUGUAUCUUAUUUAUUUGAAAUUGGAUCAACACUGAUUAUAUGAUUAUUAACUCAAUCAUUCAUUAUUCCUUCUCUUCCGGUAGUAAUGACCCUUCCCAUUGUCAGGCGAUUCACUUAUGAUGAUAACUAUUCUUUUAAUGAUCUUUAAUGGCUGUAUUUUCUUUUCCAUAUCUCUUAGAACAAUCCUAAAAGGAUGUGAGAUUGACACGAAUGAGGUACGGCCUCAUCCAAGAACAAAAUUGAUCACUUUUUGUCCCUUGACAAUCUCUCUAGUUUCUAGUUGAGGUUAAGUGAUGGGAAUGACUAACCACACUCACAAACGUUUAUUUGUAUGGCCAUUGCAAGCAUGCUGCUUGCAUAGACAAUCCAUUUCUAAAUAGUUGCAUAGAAUGUUUACUUAUUGGUAUUAAAUAUUCUUGUUUGAAUAAGAGGUUUUCUUUAAUGGUUAAGUAAGCUUCUGAAGGUGACAAGUACAAGGUUGCACGAACGUGGGGCCGUAUCAAUAUUGUUACUCGGAAAUGGUUUGAUCAGUCCAUAGCCAGAAAAGGUAGUAGUUCGGGUUGUAUAUUUGAAAACCGAUAUGAUAUUUGAAUUGUUGGCAGUUAUUUGUCAAAUAAUUUUAUUAGUUUCUAACUUGUUUCAAAUCCUUUUAUUCUAUUUUUUAAUUGAUAGGAUGUUUUAAUGAGGAGCUGUACCCUGUUGGUAGCGUUUCUGGAACUUCAAAUAAAUUGACAAGGGGUUGCUUGACUGCUCACAAUAGCCAAGAAAAGGAUAUUGGGAACUUGGAAGCUGUACCGUCCUCAUUUCUUACCGAUUCAAAAUUCACAGCAGUUGCUGGUCCUGGGUUUUCAGACAUGGAUGUUAAGUUACUCUUUCACAGAGCACGUCUAUGUUUUCAGAUGCUUCUAAUUUUAUAAAUGAGGUUGAUGUUGAAGUGCCAGUCACGAUGGGAAGGAAUGAAGAAAACACUGUUAAUUGUCUUGCAAAUGACUUUUAGUCUGAAGAAAACGACCUAUAUUUGUCAGCAUGUAGAAUAAAAGUUGUUGGGUUUGAAGCUUCUGAGAUGCGGAAGAUUGUAAAUAUGAUUCUCAGAGGUGGAGGCUCCCGAUACAUGGUUUUCAAUGACAAAUUAACACACAUAAUAGUUGGAGAUUCGUCAGAAAUGUAAUUAUCCUUUUACUUUAAUCGCAACAUAGGUUUUGUGAACUUUAUUGCUUGAAUUUGUGAGCUCGCCUGUGCUGUGAGCUUUUUGAUUUCAUUUGAAUGGUCUAUCCACCCAAUUGAAAAUUAGUUUUAUCAUAUUUCAAAUGGCAGGGAGAAAAAGGAGGUUAGAGAUAUUGCUACUUCAGGAGUUGUUCAUGUGGUUAGAUCCAACUGGCUUGAAGAGUGUGACCGUCAGAAGAAGGAGAUCCCUAUUCUUGGUAGACACAUGGCAUAUGAUGAACUUAUUCCUAAAGGUUUGAUAUGCAGGACUCGUAUUCUAAGCUAUCUGUCUUUUGAAUAGCAACCUUAAACUACCAUCAUGCAGAAUAACUGCACAUUUCAUUUGGAUGCAUGACUAAUAUUUGUUUGGAGAUCCCUAGCCUGUUUGUCUUGUUCUAAAUUUUCUGGCUGUUUACUUUGCAGCAUCUAGUAAAAUGAGCACCAUUGUUAUGGAUCAAAAUAAAGUUCCAAAUGUUCAUCCAAUCGUGCCAUCAAAUGUGUCAGAAGGAAAUAUUCAUGUUAGCAUUGGAAAGACGUCAAUAGCAGUGGAAAGAAUUGAAGAAAAAAGUGAAACAAAAGUGAAUGGAGACAGGAAAAUGAAAUUAUCCCAGAAAAGCCAACAAUGUGUAGCAAAUGGUACAAACAAGAGUUGAGAAAAGAUGGGGCGUGAUUUCAUGGUUUCAAAUGGGAAGUCAUCAUGUGUAUUUAAGGGGAAAAUAUUUUGUUUUUCUAGUUCCUUUCCAGAAGAUCGGGUAUGUUGUAAAGAUUCUUUCCUCUUAUUUCAAACAGCAUGAUUAAUGUACACUAUGCACUUUAGGUUUUAGAUGUAUUAUUGUGGUAAAUAGCAUCCAUUUUUUAAAAAAAUAACAAAGUAGAAGCCCUGUAUUCAAUAUCAAUUGACUUGAGUAAAGAGUAGUUCAUUACUGCUCCAACUCCAUGAUUUUAAAAGCAAGUCAAUGGUGCAGAUAGGAUUCUAGAUCUACUGUUUCUUUAACACUCCGAUCCUGUUAAGAGAAUGAUAUAAAAAAAAUGGAAAAAUUACCUUUUUAGUCCCCAAUUUUAUAGAAAUAGGUUUAUUGGUCCUUGAGUUUUCAAAAUGUACUCUUUUAAUCCUUGAGUGCUUAAUGUUAUACUGGAGACUCUCAAAACCAAUUUUUAGAAGAAGUUAUUCUACCUUAAAAAUGUAUAAAGUUAUAUUGGGGACUUUCUAAACCAAUUUUUAUAAACUUAGAGACUAAAAAGGUGCAUGACCAAAUGGGUCUAUUUUUCUAAACCUGGAGACUAAAAAUGUACAUUUUUAAAACUCAAGAACCAAACACACGUGUUCUUCAAAACUUGGGGAGUAAUUUUCCUAAAAAAUUUAAGAUAGUGCCAAAUGUCAUUUAGCAUGUGAAAUAAUUACGAUUUUCAUUUUUCAUUUGAGGAAUAUGCCUUCAAAUUUUUUUUACAUUUUAUUUUUGAACACUAACAAACAUGCAUCAACUUUUGACUUCCAUAAUCCCAAAUAUUUUUUAUGUAUAUUUUGAGAUCAUAUUUGAAAUUCUCCUACUAGAGAGCUGAAAUUGUUGAAUGGAUAAAUCAAGGGGGAGGCGAGGUUGUUGAAGAUCACAUGAAGCAGAAAGUGCACUUCACUGUUGAAUGUCAUGGUGGGAUACCAAGGAGUACAGACGUUCAUAGUACUUAUGUGUCAAGUCAUCGGGUUCGAUCAUGUUUAGAGGUAAGCGAUAAUUAAUUGUCUUAUUUGUGAUUUCCGUUUUAGAGCUCUACUAUUUUUUGUUUGUGUUUCCCUUUUUGGACAUAAAAGUCCACACAAGGUUGAAUAGCAUAUUUUGUUUCAUUUAGCCACUGCAAGUUUGGAUUGUGUUUGGGUUGGAGCUUUGAAUUUUGAGGGACUUUAGUUUUGUGUUGAGCCACGCUCUUAUAAUAUGAAGGAUGGAUACUGUUUUUUCCAAAACCAAACGCACAUCAGUUUUCUAAGAUUACAACAACUGUCCUCCCAGUGUAAAAAAAGGUAUCCUCAAACCAACCAAAAGAAGGGGAAUAUGUGAGCAAGAUUUAUAGUUAAUAAAUCAUCAAAAGUAAAUUAGAGUUGGACUCGAGAACUCUUGCUGAUGUAUAGGAAAAGCAGACAAGGUAUGGGAAUAUAAAUUAAAACAGCCUUUAGAUGAAAAGGGCUGCUACAACUGAUCCUACCUCAAAUGGCGGUACCAAAAUAUAGGACUUGAACCUCAGUCUUCUCCCUCGCCCGUUGUUCUUGGCAAUGUUAAAGUAUCUCAAUUCGUACACAUUCAUCUCCUUGUUUGAAGCAAUAACUCAAAGCCAAUCUCUAAUGUUGUGUUUCUUGAAAUUCUUCUUAGCCAAGUAUUUAAGAUUCCUCUUGGAGAAGUAGCUAUUGGAGUUGAUGUUGAUCUUGUUCUUGUCCUGAGUGAUAGUGACUGAGUCAUCAAGUGUCUCUGCCACCCCAGCUUUGUUGGUCUGAUGAGGUGAUGGCCGUGAUCUUGUCCUCAACUGGCAUCACACAAUCAAAUGGUCACAUCCUUAUUUUUUCCCUUCGGGCCCCAGAUGCGGCUGGUCCAUGUAGAAAAUAUGUUUCAACCUGACAAUAGGAACUGUUCUAGUUCAAAUUGUUUUUAAUAAUAUGAAAAAGUGUGUAAAAAAUGUAAAAUACUAAAUUGAUUUGAAAUGACUCUCGAACCGAUGUAUUGGGAGGCGUUUGGUCAGAAAACCGUAAAGAAAUGCUUAGAUGUCUCAAACUGAUGCAAAUAUGAGCGUGUGUGAAAACGUUACUGAUAUUGCUGUUAAAUAUAAUAAACCAAAUGAGAGCGAAAUUUGCUCUGCUACUUGUUUCUCUAACUCUGCAUCUGUAUAGAACAAUUGCAUAAAUGGUGGAUACUAUUAAAUUGGAAAAUGGAGAUUCAAUCAGUUCUAUCAUUUUGACCUUUUGAUGUUUAGGGGAAGGUGGUAACAUAAAUUUACCUUCUCAGACUAUCCAUUAAGGUUGGUCUGAAAAGAAAAGGGUGGUCUAUCUUGGAAAACAUAUUUGGUUGUUCUCUUUUUUCUUCACUCUGUCUACAUUUUGGAAAUAUGAGUGCUAUCAUUGUGUGAGAGGUUUCUUUAUUGACAAAAUUAAUUGGAGUUCAACAUUUGAAGAAGUCUUUCUAUGACUGUCCCUUGAACUCCAAAGGUUUGCACUCCAUCCCUGUGCCAAACAAAUAGAUGCUUCUUAUAUAUUUUUCUGGUGUAAUUGAGAAAGUAUUGAUGCACACUUCUGUUAAAUGCGUUAAAUUACGGCUUUGAAGCCAAUUUUGAAUGGAUAGCUGGCGUAGAAACUGCCAUUAUUGAUGAAAUUUGAUACUACUGAUGUUUUUUAAUUUUAAUUUUAUAUUAUUAUUAAUUUCGUAACCUAAUUAUGUUCAAUAUCUUAAACUGAUAUUUGAAAUGAGAAUUGAAUAUUUAUCUUGUUUUUAUUUGUUUACUGACUAUUUCAAAUAAAUUCGUUAUGAAGGAUGGAUGUUUGUGGGAUACCAAUGGGCACAUUCUCUAUUCUCCUCUUCCUUGCUGUGUCCCUUUGCCUGGAUUUGAAAACAUACGGUUUUGUGUUUCACAAUAUGAUGAUAAAGACAGAGUAUUGUUAAGAAAUCUGUGUUUUGUACUUGGGGCCAAGUUUGUGGAGAAGCUGACAAAGAAGGUAACCCAUCUAAUAUGCAAGUUCACCGAUGGGACAAAGUAUGAGGCUGCUUGUAAAUGGGGAAACAAUGCAUUACAGCUGAAUGGAUAUAUGAGUGUGUCAGACAGGUACCUUUGCGAUUUUGUUGCUUUUCAAUUAUAUAUGUUCACGUACAUGCAUAUCCUGAUAGAAUUCUAGACCCAUUGUGUUUAUAUUUCUUCUCUUAGAUAUGGAAUGAUUUUGUUUGAAUACAAAACUUUCAGAGAAAGAUUGUCUCUCUUGAUUUGUAUCGCCCAAAAGAAGUUACAGCUCAAGACAGAGCGGCAGGCUUAUGCACUGUCAGCCAAUUUCCUACUCAAGCUGCCCAAUGAUAGCCAAUGAAAGCGUAUCCCAGUUUCCUAUCCAUUCUACCAUUCCGAGAGACCAAUCAGCUGGAACUAACAGUAGCUUUAUAGGAGCAGCUGAACGAAUAAGUUCUACUAAAAAAAAGCGCAAGUUCUUUGACGAAGCC
This 38720-nucleotide long non-coding RNA is filed under the name Cucumis sativus (cucumber). RNAcentral's name for it is "long non-coding RNA (CSAT_LNC003181)". The record is from RNAcentral. Lineage: Eukaryota; Viridiplantae; Streptophyta; Magnoliopsida; Cucurbitales; Cucurbitaceae.